This 301-nucleotide ribosomal RNA is filed under the name uncultured bacterium. RNAcentral describes it as "partial 16S ribosomal RNA". It matches the Rfam family "Bacterial small subunit ribosomal RNA", at positions 509 to 809 of the family's 1533-position model. The record is from RNAcentral.
CAGUAGCCGCGGUAAUACGUAGGGUCCGAGCGUUGUCCGGAAUUAUUGGGCGUAAAGAGCUCGUAGGCGGUCUGUCGCGUCUGCCGUGAAAUCCUCAGGCUCAACCUGAGGCGUGCGGUGGGUACGGGCAGGCUAGAGUGCGGUAGGGGAGAAUGGAACUCCUGGUGUAGCGGUGGAAUGCGCAGAUAUCAGGAAGAACACCGAUGGCGAAGGCAGUUCUCUGGGCCGUAACUGACGCUGAGGAGCGAAAGCGUGGGGAGCGAACAGGAUUAGAUACCCCCGUAGUCCCUGUCUCUUAUAA